This 1409-nucleotide ribosomal RNA is filed under the name Cosmoscarta heros. Its description in RNAcentral is "eukaryotic LSU rRNA". It matches the Rfam family "Eukaryotic large subunit ribosomal RNA", at positions 380 to 1452 of the family's 3401-position model. The record is from RNAcentral. Lineage: Eukaryota; Metazoa; Arthropoda; Insecta; Hemiptera; Cercopidae.
AGAGAGAGUUCAAGAGUACGUGAAACCGUUCAGGGGUAAGCGGAAAAGACCCGAAAGUUCGAACGGGGAGAUUCACGCUCUCACGUCCCGCAAGCACUGCCGCCUGCCGGACUAACCACACGUUCGGACCGACCGCGCUCCGGCGCGUGCGGCGAGAACUGACUGUUGGCUUGGCCUACGGCGGUAAGAUGCGGCGGUGGGCCGCAUUUCUCCCUCAGUAGGACGUCGCGACCCGUUGGGUUUGCGGCCUACGGCCCCGGACGGAGACCGGCGGUCGCACGGACUUCGGUCCAUCAGUGCGUUGCCGUCCGGACCCCGGGUGUCCCGGCCGAACGCCCGACGGUAUAUCAUGCAGGUGUUGAGCCGCCGAAAGGCGCCCUUGGCCGGUCGCAAGCGUGAUCGAUUGUCGGCGAUCUCGGACCCCUGGUCCGACUCCCGCAACGACCCGCUGUUGGCGCGCCGUGUCCUCGGGCAGGUGCCGAACACCGGACUGCGACGCUUCAGCUUUGGGUACUUAUCCGACCCGUCUUGAAACACGGACCAAGGAGUCUAACAUGUGCGCGAGUCAUUGGGUGAAAAACCUAAAGGCGCAAUGAAAUUGAAAGCUGUAACUUUUUUCAACCUAGGGAGGAUGAGCGUGUCUUGCCCAAUAGGCGGCGCUCCGCACUCCCGGGGCGUCUCAUUCUCAUUGCGAGACGAGGCGCACCCAGAGCGUACACGUUGGGACCCGAAAGAUGGUGAACUAUGCCUGGCCAGGACGAAGUCAGGGGAAACCCUGAUGGAGGUCCGUAGCGAUUCUGACGUGCAAAUCGAUCGUCGGAGCUGGGUAUAGGGGCGAAAGACUAAUCGAACCAUCUAGUAGCUGGUUCCCUCCGAAGUUUCCCUCAGGAUAGCUGGUGCUCAGGGAACAAGAAUCUCAUGCGGUAAAGCGAAUGAUUAGAGGCCUUGGGGCCGAAACGACCUCAACCUAUUCUCAAACUUUAAAUGGGUGAGAUCUCCGGCAUUCUUGGACAUUGGUAAAUGAUGCCGGAGUCUCGGAUCCAGAGUAUCAAGUGGGCCAAUUUUGGUAAGCAGAACUGGCGCUGUGGGAUGAACCAAACGCAGAGUUAAGGCGCCUAAACGACGCUCAUGGGAAACCAUGAAAGGCGUUGGUUGCUUAAGACAGCAGGACGGUGGCCAUGGAAGUCGGAAUCCGCUAAGGAGUGUGUAACAACUCACCUGCCGAAGCAACUAGCCCUGAAAAUGGAUGGCGCUGUAGCGUCGUGCCUAUACUCUGCCGUCAACGGCACAGGGGGCGGCACACUAGCCUGUGUCGGGCCGUUAUGCCUUGACGAGUAGGAGGGUCGCUGCGAUGUGCGCAGAAGGGUCUGGGCGUGAGCCUGCCUGGAGCCAUCGUCGGCGCAGAUCUU